UAAAAAAAAAAGCUUUAAUAUUCUGAAAUAUACAAAGCAACAUUAUUCAUAAAAUAGUUAUUACAGGUAGCAUUGCUUCAUUAUGAAUUAAAAAAACAACAACAUGCAUACUUUGAUUGAUAAUCCAUGUUAUCAACUUGAAAUUACAAAUAUUUUUUCCAUGAACCAUUUAUUUAUAAACUUUGAAUUAAAAUAUUUUUAAGUUAUUGUAAUGUAUACCUGUCAAAUAUUGGUUUAUAAGUUUAAAAUGUUGUAUGAAUGUUAUACUUAUAAACUUGAAAAGAGUGGUAUUUGGAUGGAUGAAAGAUUUUUUAAUGGAGAAUGAAAACACUAGCAUGUUGGAUAAAAGAUUUCAUUCUGCCUUUACUACAAAAUUCAACAAAUUCCAUUUUUCUUAGACUUUUAAAGUCGUUGCUUUUAAUUUGAAAAUGUUGGUGUACAUAAUUUUUUAAAACUGAGACAUUUUCUUCAGUUUAAAAGGACAAAGUAUGAUAAGGCCUGUUUUUAGCCCCCCUAUUUUCUCAUUUUUCAAAUUCUGUUUUGGAAAGCUAUUUAUUAUGUUAAAACAUUCCCUGAUGUUUGAAGUUUGUUGGGAUGAACUUCAAAACCACUAAUUUUUGCAACUGGGUGAGGUGAGGGGGUUUAACUUUCUGUUAUUAUUCAAAUAUUGUAAUUAUUAUUCAUUUUGCAGGUGAUUUUACAACAAAUUGUAAUUUUUUUAGUGCCUACGCCAAUGUGACCCAGGAUUUUUUUUAUUCCAAUGUCAUGAGAACUGUUUUUUCUGUCUAAAUUGCCAUAGUUUUUUCCGGGUCACGUAGGUGCACGCUAUUGAAUUUUAAGAAACAAUGGCCAAAAAUCGUUAUUUUUCCUUCUUUUGGCGUUUUUGAUGCCCUUUUACCCCCUAACCCCACCUAUUUUCUGAAGAUUAAACUUAAACCUAAGGAAAUAUUUACACGUGAUAAGUAGCUUUCAAAAGCAAAAUUUAGAAAAUGAGAAAAUAGGGGGGCCAAAAACAGGCCUUAUCCAACCUUGUCCUUUGAUUAUCCAACCUUCUAUAAUUAGUUAAAGUGAUUUUUGACAUUUUGAAACUUUGUUUAUGUUUUAUAAAUUGAGAACAUGUGAGUGUAAUUGUGAACUGAAAGAAAAUUUCAGGAUUUGAUUGUACUGCCUGUAUUAAGAAGUUAAAACAAAUUGUUAUUGAUUAUUAGUAAAAGAGGAAAAAAUAAAAUAUGCAAUCAAA
RNAcentral lists this long non-coding RNA (1240 nucleotides) under Mytilus galloprovincialis (Mediterranean mussel). The record is from RNAcentral. Lineage: Eukaryota; Metazoa; Mollusca; Bivalvia; Mytilida; Mytilidae.